This is a non-coding RNA of Xyrichtys novacula (pearly razorfish), 3280 nucleotides long. Lineage: Eukaryota; Metazoa; Chordata; Actinopteri; Labriformes; Labridae. The record is from the annotation of a GenBank genome assembly.
UGAAAUUAGGAUGUGGAUAAAUGUCAGUCAAACAUGUGCAAGCAUUGAUGGAAAUUGUGAGACAUAUGACACGCUUUCUGCAUAAUCAUGAUAAGUCCUAAAAGUCUUCAAUCAGAUUUUCAACCCAAAUCUGAAUUAAUUAACCCUGGGGCAUGGUUAUCAGAGGCAAACAGUGAUUCUGGGAUGACGUCCAAAAUAUGUAAAAAUCAAAGAGAUAGAGGAAGAAGAAAAAGCUUUCGAAGUCUGGAUUUGUUAGUGAAAUAUGCCACACCUGCAAAUUGCCUUGUUGUUCUUCUAAAGUUUUGUUUUGGGACUUUUUUAGCUCCAUAAUGAUUGCAUAUCAUGCAUGGAUCCACUAAGACAGAUUUUUUUAUCCAUUUAUGAUCCAAAAAGAAAAGUCCUGUCAUGAAUAAAAAGAUUCACCUGUUGGAUUGUAAGUACUCACAAUGUUGAUCCCUUACACCAUUACAGCAUCACUAUCAAGUUAAUAUGUGACCUGAAACACUAAUAAAAAAAUACUGCUGAUUUUAAAUCAUAAUUUUCAUCAUCAUGCUCUUUGUAAUUAGAUGGCAUUGUAAUUGACUGAAGGGCAAUCAUCAUUAUUGCAACAGUAACUGUGGAUGACGGGACAGGCUCCCCUGUUACUCUUCAAAUUCCCCUCCUCUGUUUUUCAGUUAUCUUUUUUUUUUUGCUUCGAGGGCUUUAUUUGCUUGAAAAACUUAUAUUCACAUUGCCGAAGUGAGGGGAAAAAAAUACAAAAUCAUUGUAAUGAUAAGAGAUGUAGGGAAAAGUGUAUAGCCUUGUCUUUUCUUGAUAACUGUCUUUAGUCAGAAAUCAAUUACAGUCCCAAAGUGGCCUGAUAAGUGAUCAUGACUAAAUCAAGAUAGUUCCUAAAUACAAUGCCAUGGAGCCACAUAUGGCAAUAUAUAGAACUUGAGGUUCUUUUAAAUUUAACACAGAAAUAUUGAAGAUGCAGUUUCCAAUUUCAAAAAUAGCAACUUUAAGGGCAGGGCAACAGUUUUGGCAAUAAUUUGUGCUGAACAUGUUUGUUAUUUUUGUUAUUUCAGUACUGCAGCUCAGUGUUUACAAAGCUCAAUGCCACCUCAACAUGCCACCUGUUAGAGCCUGGACGUUGUGUUCUCUGACAUAAACCAGCUGAAAUGACUACAUGAUAGUGAAAGGACAUUUUACUGGUAUAUGUGGUUUUUUGCAUUUUCAAAUUUAAAUAAAACCCCUGAUAUAAAAUGUUCCUUCUCUCUGGUGUAGCUAUGAUGUCCUCAUUUGAAGCAUGUAUAAGUUAUUACUUUAUACAGAUAAGCAGAGGAUUGUACUCAGUCUCAAACCAAAGCAAAGCAACUUUCUUGAAUAUGAGAAAAUCUGAGCCAUCGUCAAUGACAACCUAAUUGUUCAGAGAUUGAGCUCUUUUAAAAAAAGAUUUUCUCAGCUGGAAAAUGAGCCAAAGUGAAUAAGAAAAGCUGCAAAGUAAAUAUGGCUUGUGUUGACAGAGUGAAAAGUUGAUAAAUGCUGCGAGUGUGUGCACAGACAUACUGUAUUUGUACAGCUGGGCCACCCCAGUCAGAAAUGUCUGGACACGCCCCUGCUUCCUUGGCCUUAGUUUACCUUCAAGAAGAGCAAAGAAAUGGACGGAUCUGAUUUUCUGCAGAAGAUAGAUAGAUAGAUAGAUAGAUAGAUAGAUAGAUAGAUAGAUAGAUAGAUAGAUAGAUAGAUAGAUAGAUAGAUAGAUAGAUAGAUAGAUAGAUUUGAUGGAAUGAGGAGAGUAAUGGGUUGCAGAAGCAGGAAUUUGGGGGGAUGCAUUGCAGUUUAGAGGUCAUAACCUUGAGUAUUGAUCAGGUUUUGUCAUUUCCAUGGCGACUGGAUCCCCCACUAUUCGGACCUGCUGGAGUACAUUAGACCUGAGAUCCAUAACGCCUGUUUGUUCUCUCUCUCUCUCUCUCUCUCUCCCUCUCUCUCUCUCUCUCUCUCUCUCUCUCUCUCUCUGCUUCUCUAUCUCACACACAGACUGUGACACACCUACACAGAGGUGCAAACACACUCAUCAAUACACACAGACAUACACGCACACACAGACGCACACAUACACACAGCUGCUCAUCCAAGCACAGGAAGAAACUGAAUUAAACCUUAAAAACAAUCUGGGCCUGCAGAGAGGACAAUUCAUCAUGAUCUCUGUGUGUCAGAGGUGUGUGUGUGUGAGAGGGAGAGAGAGUGUGUGUUGAUUUUAGUUUGGUGGGGUGUGGAGGUGGGAGGGGGUGACUGCAACAGCUCCAGCCACUGACCAGUCGUGUACACACACACACACACACACACACAAACCGUGUUCACUUCACAACACUGAUCUUUAAACACUCAUCCACAUUCCAGCCAAGGUCAGCUGGAUUGUAAAUGAAGCUACAUAUCUGGCCUGCAGUCUGUGUGUCGUUGUGUGUGCGUGUGUUAGUGUGUGUUAGUGUGUGAGGGUAAGAGAGAAAAAGGGGAGAAAAGGAGAAACAAGAUGAGCGAUAGGAUUGGUGAGAUGGGAACGACCCUGGUGCAGAGCAUGAACCAAAUCAGGACAGUGAGUUGGAGAUUGGCUAAUUUAACUUUAUCCCACUCUUACUUUUCUGGCAGCGCCUACUUUUCCCGCCAUUUUUCUUAACUGUCUUCUUCCCACAUGACCCAUCAAGAGAUUCACCAGGGCUUCACCUCUGUCUCCACUCUUCCUCUGCUCUCUGACCGUCUCUUUUUUUUUUUUUCAUGUCUGACUCGUUGCGUCUCUCGUUGUGUGUGAAUGUCCAUCACUCCCGGAGGCGACUGAGGCAGUGGAAAGGCUCUGUAGUUUGUCCGGCAGGCUGGCAGGGGCCCGCAGAGCUGAGGGGCAGCCUCUUUGUGAGGAAAUGAUUUUCUCUGUGCUGAGGAGGACACUCCAAAUCAUCUCCAGCAAUCUCAGUAAUGGCCCUGAGACGCUGCUGCCUUUGUCCUGUAAUGGUGACAGAUGACUGGCUGGGCAGACGGGGGCCAUCCAGACGCCUAGUGAAGGGGCGAACACAAACCUCUGCGCACACACACACGCAUUUGUGCGAAAACACUUGCAUAAAAUGCCACUCCACUGGCGGCCAUUGUGAUUGCAGGUAAUUGUCUCUUCUCAGGCUGUGGUGUUAGUGGUUAUCCUUAACGAUCACUCUAAGAGAGGAGUCCUAACUAUCUGUCCUUUCAAAGAAAAGAUGAUUCCACUUUACAGAGUCACGCCUGAGAUCCCCACCACCAAAAACAACUCCACCUC